RNAcentral lists this ribosomal RNA (490 nucleotides) under uncultured bacterium. Its description in RNAcentral is "bacterial SSU rRNA". It matches the Rfam family "Bacterial small subunit ribosomal RNA", at positions 501 to 989 of the family's 1533-position model. The record is from RNAcentral.
CUACGUGCCAGCAGCCGCGGUAAUACGUAGGGUGCGAGCGUUGUCCGGAAUUAUUGGGCGUAAAGGGCUUGUAGGCGGUUGGUCGCGUCUGCCGUGAAAUUCUCUGGCUUAACUGGGGGCGUGCGGUGGGUACGGGCUGACUUGAGUGCGGUAGGGGAGACUGGAACUCCUGGUGUAGCGGUGGAAUGCGCAGAUAUCAGGAAGAACACCGGUGGCGAAGGCGGGUCUCUGGGCCGUUACUGACGCUGAGGAGCGAAAGCGUGGGGAGCGAACAGGAUUAGAUACCCUGGUAGUCCACGCUGUAAACGUUGGGCACUAGGUGUGGGGGCCACCCGUGGUUUYUGCGCCGUAGCUAACGCUUUAAGUGCCCCGCCUGGGGAGUACGGCCGCAAGGCUAAAACUCAAAGGAAUUGACGGGGGCCCGCACAAGCGGCGGAGCAUGCGGAUUAAUUCGAUGCAACGCGAAGAACCUUACCAAGGCUUGACAUGC